Molecule: ribosomal RNA, 428 nt
Filed under: uncultured bacterium
Lineage: Bacteria
Description: bacterial SSU rRNA
Rfam family: Bacterial small subunit ribosomal RNA
Source: RNAcentral
AUGAAUGCUGGCGGCGUGGAUGAGGCAUGCAAGUCGAAUGGGUUUAGGCCCAUGGCAGACGAGGUAGUAACACGUAGGUACAUACCCCAAAGUCAGGAAUAACCGGCCGAAAGGUCGGAUAAUACUUGAUAUCUCGCGAGAGGAAAGAUUUAUCGCUUUGGGAAUGGCCUGCGACGUAUCAGCUAGUUGGUAAGGUAAUGGCUUACCAAGGCUACGACGCGUAGGGGAGCUGAGAGGCUGACCCCCACCGAUGGAACUGCGACACGGUCCAUACUCCUACGGGAGGCUGCAGUCGAGAAUCUUCCGCAAUGGACGAAAGUCUGACGGAGCGACGCCGCGUGGUUGAUGAAGUCCUUAGGGACGUAAAAACCUUUUAUGAGGGAGGAAAUUUUGACGUUACCUCAUGAAUAAGGGGCUCCUAACUCUGU